UUAAGUGACUAAGCGUACACGGUGGAUGCCUUGGCAGUCAGAGGCGAUGAAAGACGUAGUAACUUGCGAUAAGCCCAGAUUAGGUAGUAACAACCAUUUGAGUCUGGGAUUUCUGAAUGGGGAAACCCACGUGCAUAAGCACGUAUCCUUACCUGAAUACAUAGGGUAAGGAGGCGAACCGGGGGAACUGAAACAUCUAAGUACCCCGAGAAAAAGAAAUCAACCGAGAUUCCGAAAGUAGCGGCGAGCGAAAUUGGACUAGCCCUUAAGCUUUACACGCGUUAGACGAACGGUCUGGAAAGUCCGACGAUACAGGGUGAUAGUCCCGUAGUUGACGACGUGUGUUCAGUGAAAUCGAGUAGGGCGGGACACGUGAUAUCCUGUCUGAAUAUGGGGGGACCAUCCUCCAAGGCUAAAUACUACUGACUGACCGAUAGUGAACCAGUACCGUGAGGGAAAGGCGAAAAGAACCCCUGUGAGGGGAGUGAAAUAGAACCUGAAACCGUGUACGUACAAGCAGUAGGAGCAGGCUUUGUCCUGUGACUGCGUACCUUUUGUAUAAUGGGUCAGCGACUUAUAUUCAGUGGCAAGGUUAACCAUCUAGGGGAGCCGUAGGGAAACCGAGUCUUAACUGGGCGUUCAGUCUCUGGAUAUAGACCCGAAACCAGGUGAUCUAGCCAUGGGCAGGUUGAAGGUUGAGUAACAUCAACUGGAGGACCGAACCGACUAAUGUUGAAAAAUUAGCGGAUGACUUGUGGCUAGGGGUGAAAGGCCAAUCAAACCUGGAGAUAGCUGGUUCUCCCCGAAAGCUAUUUAGGUAGCGCCUCGGACGAAUACUACUGGGGGUAGAGCACUGUUAAGGCUAGGGGGUCAUCCCGACUUACCAACCCUUUGCAAACUCCGAAUACCAGUAAGUACUAUCCGGGAGACACACGGCGGGUGCUAACGUCCGUCGUGGAGAGGGAAACAACCCAGACCGCCAGCUAAGGUCCCAAAUUACUACUAAGUGGGAAACGAUGUGGGAAGGCUCAGACAGCCAGGAUGUUGGCUUAGAAGCAGCCAUCAUUUAAAGAAAGCGUAAUAGCUCACUGGUCGAGUCGGCCUGCGCGGAAGAUGUAACGGGGCUAAGUAGUAAACCGAAGCUGCGGCAAUAUACUUUUGUAUAUUGGGUAGGGGAGCGUUCUGUAAGCGGUUGAAGGUGUGUGGUAACGCAUGCUGGACGUAUCAGAAGUGCGAAUGCUGACAUGAGUAACGAUAAAGGGGGUGAAAAACCUCCUCGCCGGAAGACCAAGGGUUCCUGUCCAACGUUAAUCGGGGCAGGGUAAGUCGACCCCUAAGGCGAGGCCGAAAGGCGUAGUCGAUGGGAAACGGGUUAAUAUUCCCGUACUUCUUACAAUUGCGAUGGGGGGACGGAGAAGGCUAGGUGGGCCUGGCGACGGUUGUCCAGGUUCAAGUGCGUAGGCUUGAGAGUUAGGUAAAUCCGGCUCUCUUUAAGGCUGAGACACGACGUCGAGCAUCUACGGAUGUGAAGUCAUUGAUGCCAUGCUUCCAGGAAAAGCCUCUAAGCUUCAGAUUGUAAGGAAUCGUACCCCAAACCGACACAGGUGGUCGGGUAGAGAAUACCAAGGCGCUUGAGAGAACUCGGGUGAAGGAACUAGGCAAAAUGGUACCGUAACUUCGGGAGAAGGUACGCUCUCGACGGUGAAGUCCCUUGCGGAUGGAGCUAUUGAGAGUCGCAGAUACCAGGUGGCUGCAACUGUUUAUUAAAAACACAGCACUGUGCAAAAUCGUAAGAUGACGUAUACGGUGUGACGCCUGCCCGGUGCCGGAAGGUUAAUUGAUGGGGUUAGACUUCGGUCGAAGCUCUUGAUCGAAGCCCCGGUAAACGGCGGCCGUAACUAUAACGGUCCUAAGGUAGCGAAAUUCCUUGUCGGGUAAGUUCCGACCUGCACGAAUGGCGUAAUGAUGGCCACGCUGUCUCCACCCGAGACUCAGUGAAAUUGAAAUCGCUGUGAAGAUGCAGUGUACCCGCGGCUAGACGGAAAGACCCCGUGAACCUUUACUACAGCUUGGCACUGAACAUUGACCCUACAUGUGUAGGAUAGGUGGGAGGCUUUGAAGCACGUACGCCAGUAUGUGUGGAGCCGUCCUUGAAAUACCACCCUUGUAGUGUUGAUGUUCUAACGUCGACCCCUAAUCGGGGUUGCGGACAGUGCCUGGUGGGUAGUUUGACUGGGGCGGUCUCCUCCCAAAGAGUAACGGAGGAGCACGAAGGUGGGCUAAUCACGGUUGGACAUCGUGAGGUUAGUGCAAUGGCAUAAGCCCGCUUGACUGCGAGAAUGACAAUUCGAGCAGGUGCGAAAGCAGGUCAUAGUGAUCCGGUGGUUCUGAAUGGAAGGGCCAUCGCUCAACGGAUAAAAGGUACUCCGGGGAUAACAGGCUGAUACCGCCCAAGAGUUCAUAUCGACGGCGGUGUUUGGCACCUCGAUGUCGGCUCAUCACAUCCUGGGGCUGAAGUCGGUCCCAAGGGUAUGGCUGUUCGCCAUUUAAAGUGGUACGCGAGCUGGGUUUAGAACGUCGUGAGACAGUUCGGUCCCUAUCUGCCGUGGGCGUUGGAAGAUUGAAGGGGGCUGCUCCUAGUACGAGAGGACCGGAGUGGACGAACCUCUGGUGUUCGGGUUGUGUCGCCAGACGCAUUGCCCGGUAGCUAAGUUCGGAAUCGAUAACCGCUGAAAGCAUCUAAGCGGGAAGCGAGCCCUGAGAUGAGUCUUCCCUGAUACUUUAAGUAUCCUAAAGGGUUGUCGGAGACUACGACGUUGAUAGGUCAGGUGUGUAAGUGCUGUGAGGCAUUGAGCUAACUGAUACUAAUUGCCCGUGAGGCUUAACCAU
Molecule: ribosomal RNA, 2889 nt
Filed under: Vibrio parahaemolyticus
Lineage: Bacteria; Pseudomonadati; Pseudomonadota; Gammaproteobacteria; Vibrionales; Vibrionaceae
Description: bacterial LSU rRNA
Rfam family: Bacterial large subunit ribosomal RNA
Source: RNAcentral